This 496-nucleotide ribosomal RNA is filed under the name uncultured bacterium. RNAcentral describes it as "partial 16S ribosomal RNA". It matches the Rfam family "Bacterial small subunit ribosomal RNA", at positions 29 to 507 of the family's 1533-position model. The record is from RNAcentral.
AUGAACGCUGGCGGCGUGCCUAAUACAUGCAAGUCGAGCGAACAGACGAGGAGCUUGCUCCUCUGACGUUAGCGGCGGACGGGUGAGUAACACGUGGAUAACCUACCUAUAAGACUGGGAUAACAUCGGGAAACCGGAGCUAAUACCGGAUAAUAUAUUGAACCGCAUGGUACAAUAGUGAAAGACGGUUUUGCUGUCACUUAUAGAUGGAUCCGCGCCGCAUUAGCUAGUUGGUAAGGUAACGGCUUACCAAGGCAACGAUGCGUAGCCGACCUGAGAGGGUGAUCGGCCACACUGGAACUGUGACACGGUCCAGACUCCUACGGGAGGCAGCAGUACGGAAUCUUCCGCAAUGGGCGAAAGCCUGACGGAGCAACGCCGCGUGAGUGAUGAAGGUCUUCGGAUCGUAAAACUCUGUUAUUAGGGAAGAACAAAUGUGUAAGUAACUAUGCACGUCUUGACGGUACCUAAUCAGAAAGCCGCGGCUAACUACGUG